GGUAGCCGUGGCGAUGGUGUCCGCCUGAGGAUCGUCCUCGAACCGCCGGCCGGCUGAUGACCCCUGCGACGAA
This 73-nucleotide non-coding RNA is filed under the name Microlunatus phosphovorus. Its description in RNAcentral is "Fluoride sequence". It matches the Rfam family "Fluoride riboswitch aptamer (crcB RNA motif)". RNAcentral also lists the same sequence under 1 other name. The record is from RNAcentral. Lineage: Bacteria; Bacillati; Actinomycetota; Actinomycetes; Propionibacteriales; Propionibacteriaceae.